AGAGUUUGAUCCUGGCUCAGGAUGAACGCUGGCGGCGUGCUUAACACAUGCAAGUCGAACGAUGAAGCCCAGCUUGCUGGGUGGAUUAGUGGCGAACGGGUGAGUAACACGUGAGUAACCUGCCCUUAACUCUGGGAUAAGCCUGGGAAACUGGGUCUAAUACCGGAUAGGAGCGUCCACCGCAUGGUGGGUGUUGGAAAGAUUUAUCGGUUUUGGAUGGACUCGCGGCCUAUCAGCUUGUUGGUGAGGUAAUGGCUCACCAAGGCGACGACGGGUAGCCGGCCUGAGAGGGUGACCGGCCACACUGGGACUGAGACACGGCCCAGACUCCUACGGGAGGCAGCAGUGGGGAAUAUUGCACAAUGGGCGCAAGCCUGAUGCAGCGACGCCGCGUGAGGGAUGACGGCCUNCGGGUUGUAAACCUCUUUCAGUAGGGAAGAAGCGAAAGUGACGGUACCUGCAGAAGAAGCACCGGCUAACUACGUGCCAGCAGCCGCGGUAAUACGUAGGGUGCGAGCGUUAUCCGGAAUUAUUGGGCGUAAAGAGCUCGUAGGCGGUUUGUCGAGUCUGUCGUGAAAGUCCGGGGCUUAACCCCGGAUCUGCGGUNGNAACGGGCAGACUAGAGUGCAGUAGGGGAGACUGGAAUUCCUGGUGUAGCGGUGGAAUGCNNUNNNNNNANNUGGAGGAACACCG
This 693-nucleotide ribosomal RNA is filed under the name Micrococcus luteus. RNAcentral describes it as "bacterial SSU rRNA". It matches the Rfam family "Bacterial small subunit ribosomal RNA", at positions 8 to 711 of the family's 1533-position model. Lineage: Bacteria; Bacillati; Actinomycetota; Actinomycetes; Micrococcales; Micrococcaceae. The record is from RNAcentral.